This 484-nucleotide ribosomal RNA is filed under the name uncultured bacterium. RNAcentral describes it as "partial 16S ribosomal RNA". It matches the Rfam family "Bacterial small subunit ribosomal RNA", at positions 30 to 507 of the family's 1533-position model. The record is from RNAcentral.
AUUGAACGCUGGCGGCAGGCCUAACACAUGCAAGUCGAGCGGAUGAAGGGAGCUUGCUCCUGGAUUCAGCGGCGGACGGGUGAGUAAUGCCUAGGAAUCUGCCUGGUAGUGGGGGAUAACGUCCGGAAACGGGCGCUAAUACCGCAUACGUCCUGAGGGAGAAAGUGGGGGAUCUUCGGACCUCACGCUAUCAGAUGAGCCUAGGUCGGAUUAGCUAAUUGGUGGGGUAAAGGCCUACCAAGGCGACGAUCCGUAACUGGUCUGAGAGGAUGAUCAGUCACACUGGAACUGAGACACGGUCCAGACUCCUACGGGAGGCAGCAGUGGGGAAUAUUGGACAAAGGGCGAAAGCCUGAUCCAGCCAUGCCGCGUGUGUGAAGAAGGUCUUCGGAUUGUAAAGCACUUUAAGUUGGGAGGAAGGGCAGUAAGUUAAUACCUUGCUGUUUUGACGUUACCAACAGAAUAAGCACCGGCUAACUUCGUG